UACGGAGGGAGCUAGCGUUGUUCGGAAUUACUGGGCGUAAAGCGCGCGUAGGCGGCUUUGUAAGUUAGAGGUGAAAGCCUGGAGCUCAACUCCAGAAUUGCCUUUAAGACUGCAUCGCUUGAAUCCGGGAGAGGUGAGUGGAAUUCCGAGUGUAGAGGUGAAAUUCGCAGAUAUCAGGAGGAACACCAAUUGCGAAGGCAGCUCGCUGGGACGUUACUGACGCUGAGACGCGAAAGCGUGGGGAGCAAACAGG
RNAcentral lists this ribosomal RNA (253 nucleotides) under uncultured bacterium. Its description in RNAcentral is "partial 16S ribosomal RNA". It matches the Rfam family "Bacterial small subunit ribosomal RNA", at positions 524 to 776 of the family's 1533-position model. The record is from RNAcentral.